Molecule: unclassified non-coding RNA, 273 nt
Filed under: Melitaea cinxia (Glanville fritillary)
Lineage: Eukaryota; Metazoa; Arthropoda; Insecta; Lepidoptera; Nymphalidae
Description: misc RNA ENSMCXG00005007886.1
Source: RNAcentral
AAACGGCUAGACAAGAUAUUUAAAGACAUUGCAACACCGUUCGCUCUGUGGUCCUUGGAACGACCGUUGACUAGUCUUCCGAAGGUGCACGUCAAUAGUAGCAUCGUUAUAGUUGGCGCCAGUCGAACUGGUCUGGCUUUCCUUGAAACGCUGCUUUUAGGUCCCACAGCUGAAUACCUAACGUUUACGAACAUAACUCUAAUAUCUCAACACGGCCUGCCGACUGUCACAGAUUGUAUGCACGCGGCUGAGACUUGCGUUCCUCGAGACGGA